GAGACAAAGCCAAGUGCUGCAAUUUUGACUGAAAUGUCCCAAUCAGCUCUUUCUCUAGCCGUUUAUUUGGGGAACCUCAGCUGACUCAGCUGUUUAACAGCUGCUGUAUCAAACCACCCAGGACCAUGAUGACGUUGGUGGUCGCCAGAGGACUUUGAGACAUCCAACGAACAGGGACUUCAUUAUCAGAAGGAGAUCAGGGGGCCAGGACUCUCUACAUGACCUACGCAGAAGCUCGGAGAGCUGCAUUUUACUGCUGAAGUCUCGGGGACUCUACAGUGACUGAACUCGGUGAAGUGAGAAAAGGAUGAGAUGGAUGAGGAGCACAGCACAUGCUCUGGGGAUAGACAUGUUCUUUUGUUUACAGAAAAUCUGUUUUUGCGACAAUGGAACUACAAAUCAAAGAGCUGAAAAAUCGUUUAGGACUUUUGAAGAUCUGGAAAUGGAUCCACGUGACCUCUUGAUUGUGGAGUAACCUUGUGUCAGAGAUGGGAGGAGGUUGAGCUUUUGCUCAUCCAUUGGAGCAAAUUGCAGAAAAUGAAGCAAAAUCAAUCAAUACAUGUCUAUUGGACGAAUGGCAUUCAGA
Long non-coding RNA from Carassius auratus (goldfish), 586 nucleotides. RefSeq lists it as uncharacterized. NCBI's taxonomy places the organism in Eukaryota, Metazoa, Chordata, Actinopteri, Cypriniformes, Cyprinidae. The record is from RefSeq and is a predicted model, not a curated record. The transcript has 3 exons.